RNAcentral lists this transfer RNA (74 nucleotides) under Acidimicrobiales bacterium. RNAcentral's name for it is "tRNA-Val". It matches the Rfam family "tRNA". Rfam says of the family: Transfer RNA (tRNA) molecules are approximately 80 nucleotides in length. Their secondary structure includes four short double-helical elements and three loops (D, anti-codon, and T loops). Further hydrogen bonds mediate the characteristic L-shaped molecular structure. tRNAs have two regions of fundamental functional importance: the anti-codon, which is responsible for specific mRNA codon recognition, and the 3' end, to which the tRNAs corresponding amino acid is attached (by aminoacyl-tRNA synthetases). tRNAs cope with the degeneracy of the genetic code in two manners: having more than one tRNA (with a specific anti-codon) for a particular amino acid; and 'wobble' base-pairing, i.e. permitting non-standard base-pairing at the 3rd anti-codon position. Lineage: Bacteria; Bacillati; Actinomycetota; Acidimicrobiia; Acidimicrobiales. The record is from RNAcentral.
GGGCGCUUAGCUCAGUUGGUCAGAGCGCUGCCUUCACACGGCAGAGGUCGGCAGUUCAAGUCUGCCAGCGCCCA